RNAcentral lists this transfer RNA (83 nucleotides) under Schistocephalus solidus. It matches the Rfam family "tRNA". Rfam says of the family: Transfer RNA (tRNA) molecules are approximately 80 nucleotides in length. Their secondary structure includes four short double-helical elements and three loops (D, anti-codon, and T loops). Lineage: Eukaryota; Metazoa; Platyhelminthes; Cestoda; Diphyllobothriidea; Diphyllobothriidae. The record is from Rfam by way of RNAcentral.
GGCCUCUUAGCUCAGUUGGCUAGAGCGUUGACUGUACUAAAGCCUUCCCCUUGCUGGCGUGGGUUUGAAUCCCACCAAGGUCG